Molecule: ribosomal RNA, 497 nt
Filed under: uncultured bacterium
Lineage: Bacteria
Description: partial 16S ribosomal RNA
Rfam family: Bacterial small subunit ribosomal RNA
Source: RNAcentral
GAUGAACGCUGGCGGCGUGCCUAAUACAUGCAAGUCGAGCGAACAGACGAGGAGCUUGCUCCUCUGACGUUAGCGGCGGACGGGUGAGUAACACGUGGAUAACCUACCUAUAAGACUGGGAUAACUUCGGGAAACCGGAGCUAAUACCGGAUAAUAUAUUGAACCGCAUGGUUCAAUAGUGAAAGACGGUGUUGCUGUCACUUAUAGAUGGAUCCGCGCCGCAUUAGGUAGUUGGUAAGGUAACGGCUUACCAAGGCAAAGAUGCGUAGCCGACCUGAGCGGGGGAUCGGCCACACUGGAACUGAGACACGGUCCAGACUCCUACGGGAGGAAGCAGUAGGGAAUCUUCCGCAAUGGGCGAAAGCCUGACGGAGCAACGCCGCGUGAGUGAUGAAGGUCUUCGGAUCGUAAAACUCUGUUAUUAGGGAAGAACAAAUGUGUAAGUAACUAUGCACGUCUUGACGGUACCUAAUCAGAAAGCCACGGCUAACUACGUG